AUUGAACGCUGGCGGCAUGCCUUACACAUGCAAGUCGAACGGCAGCGGGGACUUCGGUCCGCCGGCGAGUGGCGAACGGGUGAGUAAUGUAUCGGAACGUACCAUUGAGUGGGGGAUAACGUAGCGAAAGUUACGCUAAUACCGCAUAUUCUCUACGGAGGAAAGCAGGGGACCGCAAGGCCUUGCGCUCUUUGAGCGGCCGAUAUCAGAUUAGCUAGUUGGUGAGGUAAAAGCUCACCAAGGCGACGAUCUGUAGAGGGUGUGAGAGGAUGAUCCGCCACACUGGAACCGAAGCACGGUACAGCCUCCUACGGGAGGCAGCAGUGGGGAAUUUUGGAGAAGGGGGGCAACCCUGAUCCAGCCAUGCCGCGUGAGUGAAGAAGGCCUUCGGGUUGUAAAGCUCUUUCGGCCGGGAAAAAAUCGCAUGGGUUAAUACCCUGUGUGGAUGAUGGUACCGGAAUAAGAAGCACCGGCUAACUACGUGCCAGCCGCCGCCGUAA
Molecule: ribosomal RNA, 500 nt
Filed under: uncultured bacterium
Lineage: Bacteria
Description: partial 16S ribosomal RNA
Rfam family: Bacterial small subunit ribosomal RNA
Source: RNAcentral